This 1083-nucleotide ribosomal RNA is filed under the name uncultured Acidovorax sp. Its description in RNAcentral is "partial 16S ribosomal RNA". It matches the Rfam family "Bacterial small subunit ribosomal RNA", at positions 210 to 1261 of the family's 1533-position model. Lineage: Bacteria; Pseudomonadati; Pseudomonadota; Betaproteobacteria; Burkholderiales; Comamonadaceae. The record is from RNAcentral.
GCCUUGCGCGAACGGAGCGGCCGAUGGCAGAUUAGGUAGUUGGUGGGAUAAAAGCUUACCAAGCCGACGAUCUGUAGCUGGUCUGAGAGGACGACCAGCCACACUGGGACUGAGACACGGCCCAGACUCCUACGGGAGGCAGCAGUGGGGAAUUUUGGACAAUGGGCGAAAGCCUGAUCCAGCCAUGCCGCGUGCAGGAUGAAGGCCUUCGGGUUGUAAACUGCUUUUGUACGGAACGAAAAGACUCUGGUUAAUACCUGGGGUCCAUGACGGUACCGUAAGAAUAAGCACCGGCUAACUACGUGCCAGCAGCCGCGGUAAUACGUAGGGUGCAAGCGUUAAUCGGAAUUACUGGGCGUAAAGCGUGCGCAGGCGGUUAUAUAAGACAGAUGAGAAAUCCCCGGGCUCAACCUGGGAACUGCAUUUGUGACUGUAUAGCUAGAGUACGGCAGAGGGGGAUGGAAUUCCGCGUGUAGCAGUGAAAUGCGUAGAUAUGCGGAGGAACACCNGNANUNNGGCGANGNCANUCCCCUGGGCCUGUACUGACGCUCAUGCACGAAAGCGUGGGGAGCAAACCGGAUUAGAUACCCUGGUAGUCCACGCCCUAAACGAUGUCAACUGGUUGUUGGGUCUUCACUGACUCAGUAACGAAGCUAACGCGUGAAGUUGACCGCCUGGGGAGUACGGCCGCAAGGUUGAAACUNCAAAGGAAUUGACGGGGACCCGCNACAAGCGGUGGAUGAUGUGGUUUAAUUCGAUGCAACGCGAAAAACCUUACCCACNCUUUNGACAUGUACGGAAUCCUUUAGAGANUAGAGGANGNUGCUCGAAAGAGANGCCGUAACACANGGUGCUGCAUGGCUGUCGUCAGCNUCGNUGUCNGUGAGANUGUUGGGUUNAAGUCCCGCAACGAGCGCAACCCUUGNCCAUUNAGUUGCUNACGAAAGGGCACUCUAAUGGGNACUNGCCGGUGACAAACCGGAGGAAGGUGGGGNANUGANCGUCAAGUNCCNUCAUGGCCCUUANUAGGUGGGGCUACACACGUCAUACAAUGGCUGGUACAGAGGGUUGCCAACCCGCGAG